CGCUAUUAUUAGAACAGUUUCUGUACUAUAUUG
RNAcentral lists this unclassified non-coding RNA (33 nucleotides) under Trypanosoma brucei. The record is from RNAcentral. Lineage: Eukaryota; Euglenozoa; Kinetoplastea; Trypanosomatida; Trypanosomatidae.